Molecule: ribosomal RNA, 2232 nt
Filed under: Triticum aestivum (bread wheat)
Lineage: Eukaryota; Viridiplantae; Streptophyta; Magnoliopsida; Poales; Poaceae
Description: partial small subunit ribosomal RNA
Source: RNAcentral
AUGCGUAUGUUCUUGCAGCUUGGCCUUGGUUUCGUAUUGCUUGCAGCACAGUAUGCAUCAGGAAUUGUGGUUCCUAGUUCACAGUGUCGACGACAGUGUGGAAAUGUUGAGAUACCAUACCCAUUUGGUAUCGAUCCAGGCUGCUCGCUCACACAGGGCUUCCAGCUCAGCUGUAAGGUCCAAGACGGCAUCCCAAAGCCAUUCAGGGGUGCCUUUGAGGUGCUCGACAUUUCUUUGACUCAAGGCACAACCCGGGUGCUGAAUUACAUCUUGGGCUACUGCUAUAACACCUCUACCAGGAGCAUGGAGUAUUUUGGCCGGUACGGGGGGUUCAACGAAGGAGACCCUUCUUCUCCCUACCGGCUCUCCGACACCCAGAACAGGUUCACGGUCAUCGGGUGCAGCGCCCUCGCCUUGAUAUCUGACUACGAUGGCACAGGUUACCAGGGCUUGGGAGUCGCAACAUGCCGCAAUUUGUCAGACUUAGUGAACGGAUCUUGCUCAGGUAUGGGCUGCUCCCAGACCACAAUACCAAAGAGGAUGUACUACUACGACACAACUUUCUCGGCAUCGGUUAACACAAGUCAAAUCUGGGAGUUCAACCGCUGCAGCUAUGCGGUACUAAUGGAGGCAGCAGCAUUUAAGUUCAGCACUACGUAUGUAAACACAAACAAAUUCAAUGACACAUAUAAUGGACGGGUGCCUAUGAUUCUUGAGUGGGCUAUAAGAGAUGUGAAGUCAUGUGAUGCUGCAAAACAGAAUACAACUGGUACUUACGCAUGCCUCAGCGCCAACAGCAAGUGUGUGGAUUCCACCAAUGACCAAGGGUACACCUGCAAUUGCACCAAUGGUUAUGCAGGCAACCCUUAUCUUCUAGACGGAUGCAAAGAUGUUAAUGAAUGCAACCACAAUCCAUGCCCUUCAGAUGGCUAUUGUCGCAAUAUUGCUGGAGAAUACCGGUGUUCUUGUCGAGUUGGCAAAAAAUACGUCACGGAAAGCAAUACAUGCAACCCUAACAUCGGCUUCAUAAUAGGAGUUACAAUGGGAUUAUUUGGUUUAAUGGUUAUCGUCAUGAUCACUAUUUUCUGGGGACAAAUGAUACUUCAAAAGAGAAAAUUGAAUAAAGUUAAGCAAGAGUAUUUCCGCAAGCAUGGAGGCGUGCUUUUGUUUGAUAAGAUGAAAUCGGAGAAAGGUCUGGCUUUCAAUGUAUUUUCAGAAGCAGAACUCAUACAUGCCACCGACAACUUUGACAGUAGCAGAAUAAUUGGAAAAGGAGGCCAUGGGACUGUCUAUAAAGGUAUAAUAAAGAACAUGUCGGUUGCAAUUAAAAGAUGUGCAGUAGUUGACGAGAGACAGAAGAAGGAAUUUGGCCAGGAGAUGCUCAUUUUGUCCCAAAUCAAUCACAAGAAUGUUGUCAAACUCUUGGGUUGCUGCCUUGAGGUGGAAGUUCCAAUUCUAGUAUAUGAGUUUGUCCUAAAUGGUACACUAUUUGAGCUUAUCCAUGGCAAGAACCAAGCAUCGCAAAUAUCUUUCAACACUCUCUUAAGGAUUGCUCAUGAAGCAGCUGAAGGACUCAGCUUUUUGCAUUUGUAUGCAUCUCCCCCAAUAAUUCAUGGUGAUGUGAAAAGUUCCAACAUCCUACUUGAUGAUAACUACAUGGCCAAAGUGUCAGACUUCGGAGCCUCCAUACUAGCGCCAUCUGACAAAGAGCAAUUUGUCACAAUGGUUCAAGGUACUUGCGGUUACCUUGAUCCCGAAUAUAUGCAAACAUGCCAGUUAACAGACAAAAGCGAUGUGUACAGUUUUGGAGUUAUUCUUCUAGAGAUUCUCACAGGCCAGCUGCCACUGAAGCUCGAGGGGUCUGAGAAGCAAAGAAGCUUGUCAUUGAUUUUCUUGUCUGCAAUGAAGGAGAAUAAUCUAGAAGCUGUGUUGGUGAACCACGUGAAAGGCCAAGAGAGCAUGGAGUUGUUGAGAGGACUUGCAGACCUGGCUAAGAAAUGCCUAGACAUGUGUGGCGACAACAGACCCUCCAUGAAAGAGGUCGCUGAUGAACUCAACAGAUUGAGGAAACUUUCACUGCAUCCCUGGGUACAACUCGGCGUCGAGACAGAAGUAGAAAACCUUCUUGGAGGAGAUACUACUGGUGGGUAUGAAAUAGAAUUAAGUGGUUAUCCUAUGGGCGAGAGUGAGAACCAACCCAUAAACCCUAGAAGUUCCUAUUAUGCAAGGUGA